RNAcentral lists this ribosomal RNA (601 nucleotides) under uncultured marine eukaryote. Its description in RNAcentral is "SSU rRNA". It matches the Rfam family "Eukaryotic small subunit ribosomal RNA", at positions 614 to 1220 of the family's 1831-position model. The record is from RNAcentral.
UGCAGUUAAAAAGCUCGUAGUUGGAUUUCGGAACCGGCCGAUUGGUCCGUCCUCUGGAUCGUGUACUGAUCGGUCUGUUCUUCUUCGCGAAGACCGCGUGUGCUCUUAACUGAGUGGGCGUGGGAUUCGCGACGUUUACUUUGAAAAAAUUAGAGUGUUCAAAGCAGGCAGUCGCUUGAAUAUCUCAGCAUGGAAUAAUAGAAUAGGACUUUGGUCUUAUUUUGUUGGUUUCCGAGACCGAAGUAAUGAUUAAUAGGGACAGUUGGGGGCAUUCGUAUUUCAUUGUCAGAGGUGAAAUUCUUGGAUUUAUGAAAGACGAACUUCUGCGAAAGCAUUUGCCAAGGAUGUUUUCAUUAAUCAAGAACGAAAGUUGGAGGCUCGAAGACGAUCAGAUACCGUCCUAGUUCCAACCAUAAACGAUGCCGUCUGCGGAUCGGAGGUCGCUCAUGUAAGGCUCCUUCGGCACGCUAUGAGAAAUCAAAGACUUCGGGUUCCGGGGGGGGUAUGUUCGCAAGAAUGAAACUUAAAGGAAUUGACGGAAGGGCACCACCAGGAGUGGAACCUGCGGUUUAAUUUGACUCAACACGGGAAAAACUCACCA